This 191-nucleotide small nuclear RNA is filed under the name Castor canadensis (American beaver). Its description in RNAcentral is "U2 spliceosomal RNA (ENSCCNG00000007797.1)". It matches the Rfam family "U2 spliceosomal RNA". Rfam says of the family: U2 is a small nuclear RNA (snRNA) component of the spliceosome (involved in pre-mRNA splicing). Complementary binding between U2 snRNA (in an area lying towards the 5' end but 3' to hairpin I) and the branchpoint sequence (BPS) of the intron results the bulging out of an unpaired adenosine, on the BPS, which initiates a nucleophilic attack at the intronic 5' splice site, thus starting the first of two transesterification reactions that mediate splicing. The record is from Rfam by way of RNAcentral. Lineage: Eukaryota; Metazoa; Chordata; Mammalia; Rodentia; Castoridae.
AUUGCUUCUCGGCCUUUUGGCUAAGAUCAAGUGUAGUAUCUGUUCUUAUCAGUUUAAUAUCUGAUACGUCCUCCAUCCGAGGACAAUAUAUUAAAUGGAUUUUUGGAACAGGGAGAUGGAAUAGGGGCUUGCUCCGUCCACUCCACGCAUCGACCUGGUAUUGCAGUACCUCCAGGACCGGUGCACAAAAA